This 1291-nucleotide ribosomal RNA is filed under the name Dendroctonus rufipennis (spruce beetle). RNAcentral's name for it is "16S ribosomal RNA". The stretch from base 1048 to 1207 matches the Rfam family "Archaeal large subunit ribosomal RNA", at positions 2542 to 2701 of the family's 2987-position model. Lineage: Eukaryota; Metazoa; Arthropoda; Insecta; Coleoptera; Curculionidae. The record is from RNAcentral.
UAAUAUUAUUAUUAUUAUAUUAUUAGUUUAUUUAAUUUUUUAAAGAAAAUAAUUUUAUUUUAUUAAUUUUAAUUGAAAAAAUAUUUUUUAUAAUAGUUAAUUAGUAUUGUGAAAGAAUUAUUUUAAUUUUAUUAAAGAAUAAUAAAGUUUUGUACCUUGUGUAUCAGGGUUUAUUAAAUUAUAUUUAAUUAUUUAAAUUUUUCGAAGUUAGGAGAGUUAUAAUUGUAUAAUUUUUAUUGUUAAAUAACUAUUUUUAAUACAAUUAUGGCAGUGAAACGUUAUUCGAUUCUAAAUAUAUCUGAUUUUUAAAGAUAAAAUUAAAUUUUAAUUUUAUUUUAUUAUAAAGUUUAAUUCAUAAUUAUAUAGUAGUAAAAUUUAAUAAAAUAGGGGAUGAGCUUUAUUUUGUAUUUAUAUAAUAUUUAAUAUUGUAUUAAUUAAAUUAAAUAGGAUUAGUAGUUUAAGAUUUUCAUAGUGUUUUAUAACUAAGUUUAAUUAUAAUAUAAUUUUUAUUUUAUUUAUAUUUUUUAUUUAAGAUAAAACUUUAAUUUUAAAGGUUUUGUUAAAAUGAUAAAAUUAGUAUAUUAAUUUUUUUUUAUUUAGUAUAAAAAUUAGAUUAGUUAAAGGAACUCGGCAAAUAAAAUUUUCACCUGUUUAUUAAAAACAUGUCUUUUUGGUUUUAUUUUAAAGUCUAACCUGCCCAAUGAUUUAUUUAAUGGCCGCGGUAAUUUGACUGUGCAAAGGUAGCAUAAUCAUUUGUUCUUUAAUUAAGAGCUUGUAUGAAAGGUUUAAUGAGAAAUAAGCUGUCUCUUUCUAAAUUUAUAUAAUUUUAUUUUUAAGUUAAAAAGCUUAAAUAUUUAUAGAAGACGAGAAGACCCUAUAGAGUUUAAUAUAUUAAGUUAUUUUAUGUAAUUAGUAUUUAAUAUUUAAAUAAUUUAAAUUUAUUUAAUUGGGGUGAUUGAAAAAUAAGAUUAACUUUUUUUAUAGACUAACAUUUAUUUAUGGUUAAUUGAUCCUUUAUUUAAGAUUAUAAGAUUAAAUUACCUUAGGGAUAACAGCGUUAUUUUUUUUUAGAGAUCAAAUCGAAAAAAAAGAUUGCGACCUCGAUGUUGGAUUUAAAAUUAAAAUUUGGUGUAGCCGCUAGAUAUUUAGGUCUGUUCGACCUUUAAAAUUUUACAUGAUCUGAGUUUAAACCGGCGUGAGCCAGGUUGGUUUCUAUCUCUAUAAUAAUAACUUGUCUUAGUACGAAAGGACCGGAUGAGUAUUUAAUAAAUAUAUUUAUGAAUAUUAUUAA